CCUACGGGUGGCAGCAGUGAGGAAUAUUGGUCAAUGGGCGCAAGCCUGAACCAGCCAAGUCGCGUGAGGGAUGACGGUCCUAUGGAUUGUAAACCUCUUUUGUCGGGGAGCAAGGCCGGCCACGUGUGGCGGGAAGGAGAGUACCUGAAGAAAAAGCAUCGGCUAACUCCGUGCCAGCAGCCGCGGUAAUACAGAGGUUUCAAGCGUUGUUCGGAAUCAUUGGGGGUAAAGGGUGCGUAGGCUGUAUCGUAAGUCGUGGGUGAAAGUUGCGGGCGGAACCCGCGGAGGGCAGAGGAUACUGCGAGACUAGAGUGAGGGAGAGGGAAGCGGAAUUCGCGGUGGAGCGGUGAAAUGCGUAGAUAUCGAGAAGAACACUCGUGGCGAAGGCAGGUUCCUGGACAUUAACUGACGCUGAGGCACGAAGGCGAGGGGAGCGAAAGGGAUUAGAUACCCCAGUAGUC
RNAcentral lists this ribosomal RNA (461 nucleotides) under uncultured bacterium. RNAcentral's name for it is "partial 16S ribosomal RNA". It matches the Rfam family "Bacterial small subunit ribosomal RNA", at positions 338 to 795 of the family's 1533-position model. The record is from RNAcentral.